Molecule: ribosomal RNA, 1719 nt
Filed under: Triticum aestivum (bread wheat)
Lineage: Eukaryota; Viridiplantae; Streptophyta; Magnoliopsida; Poales; Poaceae
Description: partial small subunit ribosomal RNA
Source: RNAcentral
AUGGACCCAGCGUUGCAUAAGGCGGCGGUUCAAGGUAGCGUAGCAAGCCUGAGGGAGCUGGUGGCCGAGCGUCCCGGCAUCCUUGGUUCCAAGACGCCCCAUGGGAACACCGCGCUGCACAUCGCCGCCGAGCUCGGCCAUGCCGGUUUUGCCGAGGAGGCCCUUGGUGUGGACGACAAGCUGCUCGUCAGCAGGAACGCCGACGGCGACACACCGCUGCACGUGGCGGCUAGGGUGGGGAAGGUGGACGUUGUGGACCUGCUCAUCGUCCGAGCAUGGGUAUGGCAUGCGGAGCAUCCGCACUACUUCCCCGCCGCACAGAAUGGACAGACCGGGGAACCUUCCCGGAGCCCCCCUCGCAGCGCGCACGGGCCUCUGUUGAUGGCCAACAAGGCCGGCGACACCCCGCUCCACGAGGCGGUGAAGCAUCGCAGGAGCGCCGUCGCGCUCAGGCUGCUGGAAACCGAGCCAGGCCGCGGCCACGUGCUCAACGUGAAGCAGCAGACGCCGCUACACAUCGCCGCGCGGGAGGGCCUCUACGACGUCGUGGCCAAGAUCGUCAGCCAGCCCUGUGAACACGACAGGUUUUUCCCCUCCGUCAGCGGCUCCGCCCUGCACCAGGCCGUCCUCAGCGGCCACGAACGCGUGGUGGAGAUCUUGCUCGACGUGACGCCGCCGGAUCAGAUCGGGCUGACGGACUCGAGCGAGAACAACGCGCUGCACUACGCGGCGCAGAAGAACAACGCCCGCGUGGUGAAGCUGCUGCUCAACCGGAAGGUGGACCUGGCCUACAAGCGCAACCGUGACCUGCAGUCGCCGCUGCACAUGGCCGCCUACUACGGCUCGACCAAGGCCAUGGCGGAGCUGCUGCUGCAGUGCCCUGAUGCGGCGGAGAUGGUGGACGCCAGCGGCAGGAACGCGUUGCAUGUCGCCAUCACCAUCGGCAAGGUGGACGUGCUCCGCUGCCUCCUCAAGCUGGUGCGCCCCGAGGACACUAUCAACCAUGUCGACCGCGACGGCAACACGCCGCUUCAUCUGGCGGCCAAGUUUAAUCGAGCACCGCUUGGCCUGCUGCUGCUCAAGGACCGCCGGGUGAACCCAUGCGUCCUCAACCGCAACGGCCGCACCGCUCGGAGCUUUAUCGAGACACAAACACCAGUGGAUAACCUCACGGUAAUUUAUGUCUACUUCUGGAAGGAGCUAAAGAAGCAAGAAUCCAUCAAAUGCAAGGCGCAACAGCUGCCCCCUGAAACAACGCCUGAUUGGUUGCAGGACCUCAACCAGUACGUGCAGCAAAGGAUGGGGACCUACACUCUCGUGGCAACUCUCAUCGCAACGGUCACCUUCUCUUCAACCUUCACCAUGCCCGGCGGGUACGACCAGCAGGAUGGCACGGCCAUCCUUGGCCACCGGCCAGCAUUCAAACUGUUCGUCUUCGCGAAUACCCUGGCAAUGCUAACGUCAAUCGUCGUUGUCUUCGGCUUCAUCUGGGCAAGAAGGGAGCAGCUGGAUUUUAGGACCGGCAGGGUCAUAGCUUGGAGCCAUUGGCUCACCGUCAUCGCCUGCCUCUCCAUGGUCGCGUCCCUGACCACCUCUGUCUACCUCACCGUCGUGGCAAAGGCACCGUGGCUCGCGUAUAUAGUCAUUGUGAUGGGUUGCAGCACUCCUUUCGUGAUGUUUCUGAUGUUGGGCAAGGACUUGUUCGCCACACGAGUGUAG